Long non-coding RNA from Felis catus (domestic cat), 1233 nucleotides. RefSeq lists it as uncharacterized. The record is from RefSeq and is a predicted model, not a curated record. The transcript has 2 exons. Lineage: Eukaryota; Metazoa; Chordata; Mammalia; Carnivora; Felidae.
UCAAGAAAGAAUAUUGUUUUUCAUUUGUUUGCUUGUUUGUUUGUUUGUUUUUAAGUGCAGAGAUGAAGAGAGAUAGUAUAAAGAUCAAAGCAUUUCAUGUUGAAAAUCUUUCUGGUUCUAGACCCCAAAGAGGAAAUUAUAAUAAUAACCAGUAGAGCAACAAAAUUGAAAAAAAAAAAAAAAAGGCUUGGAAAGUGAAAACUUUAUAAAAUAUCUCAGUUGGAUGAAGUAAAGCAGCCUUGUAUCAAACUUCAGAUUAAGUAUGUGGCCUUCCAGAUGGCUUUGAAAAAUGUCAUUAAAUUGAGGAAAACAGCAUGGGGAAAAAGAAACAAAGGAGUAACAGAAAGACUGAAACUUAUGUUCAGAUAAAACCUUUGUCUUUGGUUGCUUGGCGCACAGAACGGACAAUAAACAAGAAUAUUAGGAGCCAACCACAUUUUUCAAGCAAUCAUACAACCAGAAAUAAAAAUCCUAGUCAUCUGUCAAAAAUGUAGAGAAUUAAUAAAACCUGAACACUGAGAAAGCAUUCUUGCCAACAUCUUUUUUGGGACAGGCCACAACGAAUAAUGUGGAAUGAAGAAUAGGGAUAGUUUUGAGUGUGAAGCCAAGGUACAUAAAGGAAAGUGUCCAAGAAGACUCCUCCUGGAAAGAACAUUCAAGAAAUUUUCACCAACUAACUCAAUAACUAUACUUUCCCAACUUAAAAGUUGUUUUGUACUAAAGUCUGCGGUGGGACUCCUCUUCUUCUCCUGCACAAGCUCAAGUGUCUACUAUAGUUCAUGGCACCCCAGACGUUGGUUCUGGUCCUGGCCCUGGCCCAAUGCUACUCUGGAUGCAAAGCAGCCAUUGUGAAGAACAAUGAUGAUGGUACCUCAGAUCAUCCCUACAGCCAUGCUCUCUCUGUGACUGAAAUGGACUGCUAUUCCCACAAAGUGACAGCUGCCAUGAACAAGAAGAAAAUCGUCAAGAGGUCAAAGAUCAAUGUUUUGUGAAAGUUUAUAACUACAAUCACCUCAUGCCCACAGGGUACUCUGUGGACAUCUCCUUAGACAAAACUGUUAUCAUCAAAGGUAUCUUCAGAGACCCAACUUUAUACAUGCUACUUGUCAGUGUUUAUUCAGGAAUCUCUUUGUAGCUAUUGUGAAGGAUUUGCCCAGCAUUAAAACUGAGUAAAGAUAAAUAAGCAUUGCUUUGUAAGUUCAUUACAACCUAAAUUAAAAAUGAAUACAACGG